UUAAGCGACUAAGCGUACACGGUGGAUGCCCUGGCAGUCAGAGGCGAUGAAGGACGUGCUAAUCUGCGAUAAGCGUCGGUGAGGUGAUAUGAACCGUUAUAACCGGCGAUUUCCGAAUGGGGAAACCCAGUGUGUUUCGACACACUAUCAUUAACUGAAUCCAUAGGUUAAUGAGGCGAACCGGGGGAACUGAAACAUCUAAGUACCCCGAGGAAAAGAAAUCAACCGAGAUUCCCCCAGUAGCGGCGAGCGAACGGGGAGGAGCCCAGAGCCUGAAUCAGUGUGUGUGUUAGUGGAAGCGUCUGGAAAGGCGUGCGAUACAGGGUGACAGCCCCGUACACAAAAAUGCACAUAUUGUGAGCUCGAUGAGUAGGGCGGGACACGUGGUAUCCUGUCUGAAUAUGGGGGGACCAUCCUCCAAGGCUAAAUACUCCUGACUGACCGAUAGUGAACCAGUACCGUGAGGGAAAGGCGAAAAGAACCCCGGCGAGGGGAGUGAAAAAGAACCUGAAACCGUGUACGUACAAGCAGUGGGAGCCUCUUAAUGGGGUGACUGCGUACCUUUUGUAUAAUGGGUCAGCGACUUAUAUUCUGUAGCAAGGUUAACCGAAUAGGGGAGCCGAAGGGAAACCGAGUCUUAACUGGGCGUUAAGUUGCAGGGUAUAGACCCGAAACCCGGUGAUCUAGCCAUGGGCAGGUUGAAGGUUGGGUAACACUAACUGGAGGACCGAACCGACUAAUGUUGAAAAAUUAGCGGAUGACUUGUGGCUGGGGGUGAAAGGCCAAUCAAACCGGGAGAUAGCUGGUUCUCCCCGAAAGCUAUUUAGGUAGCGCCUCGUGAAUUCAUCUCCGGGGGUAGAGCACUGUUUCGGCAAGGGGGUCAUCCCGACUUACCAACCCGAUGCAAACUGCGAAUACCGGAGAAUGUUAUCACGGGAGACACACGGCGGGUGCUAACGUCCGUCGUGAAGAGGGAAACAACCCAGACCGCCAGCUAAGGUCCCAAAGUCAUGGUUAAGUGGGAAACGAUGUGGGAAGGCCCAGACAGCCAGGAUGUUGGCUUAGAAGCAGCCAUCAUUUAAAGAAAGCGUAAUAGCUCACUGGUCGAGUCGGCCUGCGCGGAAGAUGUAACGGGGCUAAACCAUGCACCGAAGCUGCGGCAGCGACACUAUGUGUUGUUGGGUAGGGGAGCGUUCUGUAAGCCUGUGAAGGUGGCCUGUGAGGGUUGCUGGAGGUAUCAGAAGUGCGAAUGCUGACAUAAGUAACGAUAAAGCGGGUGAAAAGCCCGCUCGCCGGAAGACCAAGGGUUCCUGUCCAACGUUAAUCGGGGCAGGGUGAGUCGACCCCUAAGGCGAGGCCGAAAGGCGUAGUCGAUGGGAAACAGGUUAAUAUUCCUGUACUUGGUGUUACUGCGAAGGGGGGACGGAGAAGGCUAUGUUGGCCGGGCGACGGUUGUCCCGGUUUAAGCGUGUAGGCUGGUUUUCCAGGCAAAUCCGGAAAACCAAGGCUGAGGCGUGAUGACGAGGCACUACGGUGCUGAAGUGACAAAUGCCCUGCUUCCAGGAAAAGCCUCUAAGCAUCAGGUAACAUCAAAUCGUACCCAAAACCGACACAGGUGGUCAGGUAGAGAAUACCAAGGCGCUUGAGAGAACUCGGGUGAAGGAACUAGGCAAAAUGGUGCCGUAACUUCGGGAGAAGGCACGCUGAUAUGUAGGUGAAGCGACUUGCUCGUGGAGCUGAAAUCAGUCGAAGAUACCAGCUGGCUGCAACUGUUUAUUAAAAACACAGCACUGUGCAAACACGAAAGUGGACGUAUACGGUGUGACGCCUGCCCGGUGCCGGAAGGUUAAUUGAUGGGGUUAGCGGUAACGCGAAGCUCUUGAUCGAAGCCCCGGUAAACGGCGGCCGUAACUAUAACGGUCCUAAGGUAGCGAAAUUCCUUGUCGGGUAAGUUCCGACCUGCACGAAUGGCGUAAUGAUGGCCAGGCUGUCUCCACCCGAGACUCAGUGAAAUUGAACUCGCUGUGAAGAUGCAGUGUACCCGCGGCAAGACGGAAAGACCCCGUGAACCUUUACUAUAGCUUGACACUGAACAUUGAGCCUUGAUGUGUAGGAUAGGUGGGAGGCUUUGAAGUGUGGACGCCAGUCUGCAUGGAGCCGACCUUGAAAUACCACCCUUUAAUGUUUGAUGUUCUAACGUUGGCCCGUAAUCCGGGUUGCGGACAGUGUCUGGUGGGUAGUUUGACUGGGGCGGUCUCCUCCUAAAGAGUAACGGAGGAGCACGAAGGUUGGCUAAUCCUGGUCGGACAUCAGGAGGUUAGUGCAAUGGCAUAAGCCAGCUUGACUGCGAGCGUGACGGCGCGAGCAGGUGCGAAAGCAGGUCAUAGUGAUCCGGUGGUUCUGAAUGGAAGGGCCAUCGCUCAACGGAUAAAAGGUACUCCGGGGAUAACAGGCUGAUACCGCCCAAGAGUUCAUAUCGACGGCGGUGUUUGGCACCUCGAUGUCGGCUCAUCACAUCCUGGGGCUGAAGUAGGUCCCAAGGGUAUGGCUGUUCGCCAUUUAAAGUGGUACGCGAGCUGGGUUUAGAACGUCGUGAGACAGUUCGGUCCCUAUCUGCCGUGGGCGCUGGAGAACUGAGGGGGGCUGCUCCUAGUACGAGAGGACCGGAGUGGACGCAUCACUGGUGUUCGGGUUGUCAUGCCAAUGGCACUGCCCGGUAGCUAAAUGCGGAAGAGAUAAGUGCUGAAAGCAUCUAAGCACGAAACUUGCCCCGAGAUGAGUUCUCCCUGACUCCUUGAGAGUCCUGAAGGAACGUUGAAGACGACGACGUUGAUAGGCCGGGUGUGUAAGCGCAGCGAUGCGUUGAGCUAACCGGUACUAAUGAACCGUGAGGCUUAACCUU
This 2902-nucleotide ribosomal RNA is filed under the name Escherichia coli. RNAcentral's name for it is "23S ribosomal RNA". It matches the Rfam family "Bacterial large subunit ribosomal RNA". The record is from RNAcentral. Lineage: Bacteria; Pseudomonadati; Pseudomonadota; Gammaproteobacteria; Enterobacterales; Enterobacteriaceae. RNAcentral also lists the same sequence under 2 other names.